Molecule: long non-coding RNA, 101 nt
Organism: Salarias fasciatus (jewelled blenny)
Lineage: Eukaryota; Metazoa; Chordata; Actinopteri; Blenniiformes; Blenniidae
Exons: 3
Source: RefSeq, a predicted model, not a curated record
CCGGCCUUCUUGGAACAUAUUCUUUAUAAUCCUGACAGGAAUAACAAACGGAGCUCAUCAAUCUGUUGUUGAAACCUUAAAAUCUUUGGGUCAAACUGAGG